Molecule: ribosomal RNA, 292 nt
Filed under: uncultured Bacteroidota bacterium
Lineage: Bacteria; Pseudomonadati; Bacteroidota
Description: uncultured Bacteroidetes bacterium partial 16S ribosomal RNA
Source: RNAcentral
GGACUACACGGGUUUCUAAUCCUGUUUGAUCCCCGCACUUUCGUGCCUCAGCGUCAGUUGUUGCCUGGCAGGCUGCCUUCGCUAUCGGUGUUCUUGACGAUAUCUAAGCAUUUCACCGCUACACCGUCAAUUCCGCCUGCCUCGUCAACACUCAAGCCCCGCAGUAUCAACGGCACCUCGACAGUUGAGCUGCCGUAUUUCACCGCUGACUUACAGGGCCGCCUACGCACCCUUUAAACCCAAUAAAUCCGGACAACGCUUGCCACCUACGUAUUACCGCGGCUGCUGGCAC